AGGUGGAAGUUAUGAUACCUACAGACUCCUCAGUGAAACAUUAGUUUGCAAAGUGAUUCCACUGCCUCCCCAGAAAACACGUCAGCAGGAGCAUUCCGUGGAGGUGGAGGAACGGUCCACUAUGGAGCAUCAUCAUCAGGCAGACCUAGAGGCUGACAUCAGCAGGUUUAGUUCGGUAAGGGAGAUGACACACGACACUGCGGAUACCU
Molecule: long non-coding RNA, 209 nt
Organism: Priapulus caudatus
Lineage: Eukaryota; Metazoa; Priapulida; Priapulimorpha; Priapulimorphida; Priapulidae
Exons: 3
Source: RefSeq, a predicted model, not a curated record